UAUAUUUGCGCCUCUGAUUUAACAAAAAUUGGUUACAUAAGAAUUAUUUACAAAAAUAUUGGCAUG
The submitters of this non-coding RNA (66 nucleotides) gave its source as unclassified sequences. The record is from Rfam.